GAUGAUUUAAUAAAAUGUGAAUGAUGGAGCUCAUGGAUGCGAACUUGAUGCACUUACAUGCUAUGUUCAUACCGGUGGAGUCAUGGAGCUUAUGUUUACCUAUUUGCACUCGUGAACUUGCUUUUGGCUCCGAAUUUGUUGGAUAUAUAUGUAUGCACUUGGUGGAGAUAUCUAUAUAUUGUUGGAUAUAUAUGUAUGCACUUGAUGGAU
RNAcentral lists this long non-coding RNA (210 nucleotides) under Hordeum vulgare. RNAcentral's name for it is "long non-coding RNA (HVUL_LNC015092)". Lineage: Eukaryota; Viridiplantae; Streptophyta; Magnoliopsida; Poales; Poaceae. The record is from RNAcentral.